Long non-coding RNA from Ruditapes philippinarum (Manila clam), 1438 nucleotides. RefSeq lists it as uncharacterized. The transcript has 2 exons. The record is from RefSeq and is a predicted model, not a curated record. Lineage: Eukaryota; Metazoa; Mollusca; Bivalvia; Venerida; Veneridae.
GAUUUAUCCGCUAGAGGAUUAAAUCUUUUAUUCAAAUCUUACAACUUAACAUUUUUUUAUUAUAACACCCCAGUAGGGCCUCAAGAAGAGUUGUCAAGGGAGACAACUUACACUUGAAUAUGUCAUAUAUAAGGCAGAGCAAAUUCUGGGAACGGUCUUUCAAUCGUGGCUCACCAUAGAAGAGGUAGACUAGUUUAUCUUCGUUAAAAAAAUCUAAAAUUUACAUUUCAAAUCUUGAAUAUCAACGAAUAUUAUUUAGAAUCGCACAGGAGAUUAAGAUACAUUUUACAUUUCUGCUCAUUAUUAUUUGUUUUAAUAUUUGGGGUUUAUUAGAUAAGAACUUUGACCAGAUCUAAUAACCACGUGGUGAUGACCAGCUGUUGUUCUCGUGAAGGACAGUAGUCAAAAAAAAUCAAUUUUGGAUGCCUUGAUUACACUAAAUAUAUUUCAAAGUCAAUCGGCUUCUUUGAAAUAUUUAGUAAAUAAAUAAAAAAUUGGAUUUAAAUCUAGAUCUUGAGUUUAAAACAUAGAUUCUAUAUUUAUAUGAUGUUUCAGCACGUGAUCUAUACUUAAAAUCUAGAGCAUUAUCUGAUGAAUCAAUAAAUGAGAAUAGCUUUAAAACGGUUAAAAAUACAAUUAAUUGAUUAUAUGGCUCGAUUAUGACAGGUCAUGUUUUACAACGGGAAAAUUAUCAGUUUCAUUGAAUCCACGCGCGUGACAUCAUACAGGUCUAUGACGUCAUUUCAUUGAGGCUAAGAAAAUAAAGAUAAGAGUAAAUAGAAUCUAAAUAUAUAAAGUAGGAAAUAAAUAAAAUAAGUUGAUAAUAAUAAUAAUAAUUUAAUUAGAUCUACACAAAUUUAUUUAAUUCAUUUAUUUAUAUUAUUUUAUUUUUCGACAAUGCUAAAACAUCGACAACAACGUGGCCAUACACGAGACACGCUCCAACAGCAAGUCAAUAAUAGGAGGAACAUUCGGACGUCUGUUUCUACAGCCAUGCCUCCAGCUGACAGACCUGUAAGGGAGCUCUGUGAAGAAAACGAAAUGUAUGGCCAAUCCGGACCUCCGGUAGAUGUUGAUCUUCAUCAGCAAGAGACAAAUAAAGAUAACACUAUAUUAGCACGUCAUGGCUGGAACAGAAAGAUAUAGAAAAAGGAGAAUGCUUAUAAUUCUCAGCGACCGUUAUCGGAGCUGAUCAAUUUGUAAAACAGACAUGUAAAGUGAAUUCAUCAUCUGUACCUGUGUACCUUGAGUUGAAGCAUGUGCUACCACGUUUUUGCAACCGUUGCCGGGGCAAAAACAGUUAUAGUAAAGACAUUUAGUAGUCUUAAAUCGAAACACAUAGACAUUUCAAUAGGUUAAAUAAUUAAAAUGCUUUUAUCCAGCCAUGGCCAUUUUCAUGCCAACACGUUUUUAUUAAUAAAUACUAGUACGUUUUUUA